Molecule: non-coding RNA, 73 nt
Organism: Leptidea sinapis
Lineage: Eukaryota; Metazoa; Arthropoda; Insecta; Lepidoptera; Pieridae
Source: the annotation of a RefSeq genome assembly
GAACGGUUGGCUCAGUGGGAAGAGCGCUCGAACAGAAACCGAGAGGUCGCGGGUUCGAGUCCCGCAUCGUUCA